GGCAUGCUAAUCUGUUGUGGUCAAUCUCUAAAUGCACUUGAGUCCGAUGAAGAGCAGCCUACAAAACAAGCUUAUUGACUAAAAUUUUGUCCGAUGAGGAUCCUUCAAUGCCUAAAUCAGUGGAGAGUGGCAAACAAGAGAUUUAGUGUAGAAUUCGAUAGAGUUUUAGUUCAAAAAAAACCUCUUACCAUUGCUGUUGGGUAUAAAAUGCCCACAGUCAAAAUCCUCGACGGAAUCGACUCC
RNAcentral lists this long non-coding RNA (243 nucleotides) under Elaeis guineensis (African oil palm). Its description in RNAcentral is "long non-coding RNA (EGUI_LNC069198)". Lineage: Eukaryota; Viridiplantae; Streptophyta; Magnoliopsida; Arecales; Arecaceae. The record is from RNAcentral.